Molecule: non-coding RNA, 2198 nt
Organism: Arachis ipaensis
Lineage: Eukaryota; Viridiplantae; Streptophyta; Magnoliopsida; Fabales; Fabaceae
Source: RefSeq, a predicted model, not a curated record
GUGGCGAUUUGGAUCAUUACAGCGGUUCCAACCCGUCGUUAUCUCCCAUAUAUAUAAAAGCCCAAUUCGGCAAUUCUAUCCCUAAUUUCGGAAACACUAGGUCGUUGCUGAAGACGCGUGCGUACACUACUGCUUCCAUUGUGUGGCGAUCUCUGAUCCUAUGCGUUCCCUGACGAUCUCCUCCGGUGGCAUCUCCUCCUCUGGCGACGAUCUCCUCCGGUCGGUCUCCUCUAGCUUCUUGCUGUCCUCCUUCUCUGCCAAAAUUCUCAGUGCCUCCCUUUCAUUCUCCCUUUCCUUCCAUUGAUGGACAAUGUUUGAUGAUGGAAACCUAGUGCAGGAGAAUAGCUUCAUAUAUUUCAAAUUUCUACAUUAAUUAUUACUCUUUCUUUGCUAUAUCAUGUAAUUUAAGCGCUGGUGGAGUGGAGGAUUUGGAUAUGAACUGUGAAUUGGGAUCUUAGAUCAGAAGCAACUUAUUUACCUGCAGAAGCUCAAUACUAGCUGGUGAAAUCCAACUUGAUGCUAACUGCAGUAUUGAUUUGAACCUAGAUUUCAAUAGGGUUCUUCCUAGUAGAAAUCUCCAACCUGUAGUAUAUAGGCUAUACUUGGAACUCCUCAAAUGACAUGCUUUUGAACUUAAAUCUCAGAUAAAAAGGUCUCAUUAUCAAAACAUAAAGAUUUUUGUUCCAGUGACUGUGGUGGCACUCCUGAUUUUGAUUCCAGCAAAUGUGUCAAGUGGGACAUUGUUUUUCUUACAAAAAGAAUUGGUAGUGAGCGACAUUGAUAAACUCUCAAUAUCGAAUGUUUCUCCUAAAUCCACAAGAUGAAUAUGAAGAUAGUACACGCCUUUAUUUAUUAGUGAAGGAUGUGCAUAAAUUACCAGAAGUUUUGCGCAUAGUUGUCAAUUUUGAUAGACAGCGUGCAGCAAUAGGAGAAGCAGCCGGACUCCUUGCAGGAGUUUGUGGACAAUUGGCCACUGAUUGUGUAGCAUUUUCAAUCAGUUUUGAUAAGUGAUCAGACAUUCCAGAGAGCUUUUCUGAAAAUCAAUUUAAUAUUUUUUCCAAGUUCGAUUUUGCUUCAAAGUGUGUGAUAGCUUGGCCAAACAAUUUCUGCUCCAAUCGCUUGGCGAAAAAUGGAGGGAACAUAGGAUAAAGCUUUGGAAUGAGUUUUAUGAUCUAAGAUUGAGUAAAACUGAGAUCAUAAAUAGUACACCAGAAGAUAUUGCUCUUGAUCAAUAGGCUUUAUUCGUAGAAUAUCGUUUGAAACUUGAAACUCAAAAUCUUUGUAAGAGGAAUCAAGAAAUUUGGCAAAAAUAAAUAAUUUCUCAUACUUCAGGUGCUAAAUCAAUUGCAAGAAGAAGGGCUGAAUUGACAGAAGAGACGGAAAAAGAAGUUAGUAGGGUUCAAAUAUGGGACAUCACUCACAAAAAAAUAGAUGAAAGUUAUAUUAAUGAAAAGGCUAAAAAAAUAGCGGAAAAGAUUGAAGCAAAUAAUAGUCAACAAGCGGUAGAAUCAACCGUUAAUUCUCCUCUUGAUGCUCUUGGAGUAGUUCUUGGGAAUUAAAGAGCACCCUGGUCGUGUUCGUGGUUUAGACAUGGGAGCUGUUCCAACAGUUGCUUUCAAGAACAACAUUACAAGGAUUAAUCAGAUGAAUUUAGGUCCUUCAAAUGAUGCUGGCACAUCAUCUACUUGUGGUCUAAAUGUGCAAGAAGAGUUGGACACCGUUAAAUCGCAAUUGUAAGCGCUAGUCUCCUAUAUUGCUUCUAAGAAAGGAGGUAAAAUUUCAGUGAAAUUGGCUGGAAUGUUCCCUACUCAACAAAUUUCACAUGUACAAAUACAAUUUAUGUUCUUAAUACCUUAUUCCAUGUGUAAUAUUUUGACUCUUAAGAAGGAAAUGCUUAUAUUUGUUAGAUUUUCAACAAUGUAAAAGAAUAAUAGUCUAACAUAUAGAAUUAUUAUACAAGGGAGCAUGAGAUUUUGCAGAUUUUUUAGGCUUUUUUUAAUUUUAAUUGUGUUUUGGUCUGCUGUGUUGAAUUUCUGUUAAAUCCAUUUUGUUACGGUUGAAGGUAUUGAGGGGACAUAGAAAAUUAUAUACUAGUGUUGUAAGUUGUAAGUUGCAACCAUAUCCUUGCAUUGGAAUAUUGAUAAAGAAAAUUGGCUCAGCAUUUUGGUGGAUAUUAUUGCCAGGCCAUAAGAGUGUCA